This 71-nucleotide transfer RNA is filed under the name Rattus norvegicus (Norway rat). It matches the Rfam family "tRNA". Rfam says of the family: Transfer RNA (tRNA) molecules are approximately 80 nucleotides in length. Their secondary structure includes four short double-helical elements and three loops (D, anti-codon, and T loops). The record is from Rfam by way of RNAcentral. Lineage: Eukaryota; Metazoa; Chordata; Mammalia; Rodentia; Muridae.
GGGGAGAUGGCUCAGUCAGUAAAGUGCUUGCUUUGCAAGCACGAGGAUCCAGGUUCAAUCCCUGGUACCCA